UAGCUGUAGGUGAACCUGCAGCUGGAUCAUUUCGAGAGUUUUCGAACUCAAGAAUUUUUAAUUGAGUCAUUACUUGCUCGUCAGACGUGCUUUGCACUCUGGCUGAGUUUUGAACAACUCAUAACGGUGGAUGUCUUGGCUUCC
RNAcentral lists this unclassified non-coding RNA (144 nucleotides) under soil metagenome. Its description in RNAcentral is "partial contains small subunit ribosomal RNA, internal transcribed spacer 1, and 5.8S ribosomal RNA". The record is from RNAcentral.